AUUGAACGCUGGCGGCAUGCUUUACACAUGCAAGUCGAACGGCAGCGCGGGCUUCGGCCUGGCGGCGAGUGGCGAACGGGUGAGUAACGCAUCGGAACGUGCCCAGUAGUGGGGGAUAGCCCGGCGAAAGCCGGAUUAAUACCGCAUACGACCUGAGGGUGAAAGCGGGGGACCGAAAGGCCUCGCGCUAUUGGAGCGGCCGAUGUCGGAUUAGCUAGUUGGUGGGGUAAAGGCUUACCAAGGCGACGAUCCGUAGCUGGUCUGAGAGGACGACCAGCCACACUGGGACUGAGACACGGCCCAGACUCCUACGGGAGGCAGCAGUGGGGAAUUUUGGACAAUGGGGGCAACCCUGAUCCAGCCAUGCCGCGUGCGGGAAGAAGGCCUUCGGGUUGUAAACCGCUUUUGUUCGGGAAAGAAAUCCUCUGGGCUAAUACCCCGGGGG
Molecule: ribosomal RNA, 445 nt
Filed under: Leptothrix sp. oral taxon 026
Lineage: Bacteria; Pseudomonadati; Pseudomonadota; Betaproteobacteria; Burkholderiales; Sphaerotilaceae
Description: bacterial SSU rRNA
Rfam family: Bacterial small subunit ribosomal RNA
Source: RNAcentral